RNAcentral lists this ribosomal RNA (504 nucleotides) under uncultured bacterium. RNAcentral's name for it is "partial 16S ribosomal RNA". It matches the Rfam family "Bacterial small subunit ribosomal RNA", at positions 30 to 523 of the family's 1533-position model. The record is from RNAcentral.
AUUGAACGCUGGCGGCAGGCCUAACACAUGCAAGUCGAACGAUAGCACAGAGAGCUUGCUCUCGGGUGACGAGUGGCGGACGGGUGAGUAAUGUCUGGGAAACUGCCCGAUGGAGGGGGAUAACUACUGGAAACGGUAGCUAAUACCGCAUAACGUCGCAAGACCAAAGUGGGGGACCUUCGGGCCUCACACCAUCGGAUGUGCCCAGAUGGGAUUAGCUAGUAGGUGGGGUAAUGGAUCACCUAGGCGACGAUCCCUAGCUGGUCUGAGAGGAUGACCAGCCACACUGGAACUGAGACACGGUCCAGCCUCCUACUGGAGGCAGCAGUGGGGAAUAUUGCACAAUGGGCGCAAGCCUGAUGCAGCCAUGCCGCGUGUAUGAAGAAGGCCUUCGGGUUGUAAAGUACUUUCAGCGGGGAGGAAGGCGGUGAAGUUAAUAACUUCACCGAUUGACGUUACCCGCAGAAGAAGCACCGGCUAACUCCGUGCCAGCCGCCGCGGUAA